RNAcentral lists this ribosomal RNA (484 nucleotides) under uncultured bacterium. Its description in RNAcentral is "partial 16S ribosomal RNA". It matches the Rfam family "Bacterial small subunit ribosomal RNA", at positions 30 to 507 of the family's 1533-position model. The record is from RNAcentral.
AUUGAACGCUGGCGGCAGGCCUAACACAUGCAAGUCGAACGGCAGCACAGUGCUUGCUUGUGGUUACAGCGGGGGACUGGUGAGCGAGGCCUGGAAAUAUCCCUGGCUGUGGUUUCGUACGUCCUAACGCAGGCGCACAUACCCCAAUACCGCAGAGGACGAAAGGGGGAGAGCUUCGGACCUUCGGCUCUCAGGCGAUUGUAGGUGGGGUUAGCUAGUUGGUGGGGUAAAGGCCUACCAAGGCGACGAUCCGUAGCUGGUCGGAGAGGAUGAUCAGUCACACUGGAACUGAGACACGGUCCAGACUCCUACGGGAGGCAGCAGUGGGGAAUAUUGGACAAUGGGCGAAAGCCUGAUCCAGCCAUACCGCGUGUGUGAAGAAGGCCUUCGGGUUGUAAAGCACUUUUGGUGGGGAGGAAAAGCAGUAGGUUAAUACCAUGCUGUUCUGACGGUACCAACAGAAUAAGCACCGGCUAACUUCGUG